RNAcentral lists this ribosomal RNA (497 nucleotides) under uncultured bacterium. Its description in RNAcentral is "partial 16S ribosomal RNA". It matches the Rfam family "Bacterial small subunit ribosomal RNA", at positions 28 to 507 of the family's 1533-position model. The record is from RNAcentral.
GAUGAACGCUGGCGGCGUGCCUAAUACAUGCAAGUCGAGCGAACAGACGAGGAGCUUGCUCCUCUGACGUUAGCGGCGGACGGGUGAGUAACACGUGGAUAACCUACCUAUAAGACUGGGAUAACUUCGGGAGACCGGAGCUAAUACCGGAUAAUAUAUUGAACCGCAUGGUUCAAUAGUGAAAGACGGUUUUGCUGUCACUUAUAGAUGGAUCCGCGCCGCAUUAGCUAGUUGGUAAGGUAACGGCUUACCAAGGCAACGAUGCGUAGCCGACCUGAGAGGGUGAUCGGCCACACUGGAACUGAGACACGGUCCAGACUCCUACGGGAGGCAGCAGUAGGGAAUCUUCCGCAAUGGGCGAAAGCCUGACGGAGCAACGCCGCGUGAGUGAUGAAGGUCUUCGGAUCGUAAAACUCUGUUAUUAGGGAAGAACAAAUGUGUAAGUAACUAUGCACGUCUUGACAGUACCUAAUCAGAAAGCCACGGCUAACUACGUG